Molecule: long non-coding RNA, 2852 nt
Organism: Falco peregrinus (peregrine falcon)
Lineage: Eukaryota; Metazoa; Chordata; Aves; Falconiformes; Falconidae
Exons: 3
Source: RefSeq, a predicted model, not a curated record
GCCGGCCCCACGCAGGAGCCCCGGCAGGGGCAGGAAGCGCCCCCCGCCCGCCCGGGGGGAGGGGGCGGCUGGGUACUCCCGGCGAGCGCUCCCCGGACCAGCUGCCAAGCGGUGGCUAUUCAAAGAGAAACUGGUACCACUUAAGGCUAAUGGGUGCCUUUUGUACCGGCAAGUGUUGGUACUUUGUGCGAAAAGUUUACAAAAGUUUGUUUGACUGAUACAGUCCAAGUCACUCUAACAGAGCAUCACAGAGAAAAAACCCAACCGCCUCUUCCCUGCCUGUUUGUGCUCAGCUGCCUUUCCUGCCUGGGGGUGAGGGUGCUCCGGAAGAAAACGGUGCUCAUCAGGCAGGAGGAAUGUCACCAGUGACCUGACCCUGGAGCCAGAUUGCUCCAGGAAAAGAAAUGUGGGCAGCUCAGACUAGGCUGAACCUUGUAUAAUUUUGACUUUUUUUUUUUUUUUUUAAAUCUUUUUGGGGGGUUUUCCGUGUGCGUUGCAGAGAUGCACAACUUAGAAAGUACAUUUUCUUUGAUUUUAAACUGGGAAGAAGGUUUACUGCGUCCAUGGCAGUAUCUCCAUCGUCUUACAGCAAUACAAGUCAUAAUUAUUAUGGUAAUAAUAAUAAAAAGGAUACACAUUCUCUGAUAGACUUCAGUCUGUCUUAGUUCUGUAACCCUACAAUCUGUAGGGUUGGUUUCAUUUAAUACAAUGAAAGUAAUACCAGCUCUGCACCUGAGAAAUCACAAAGUCCCUCCUAGGCAAAUGAUUUCAUCAGUUACCUACAGAACUGCACUGACGGAUUUUCCUUUUUACUUAAGGAAAACACUUUUAUAUAGGCUUGAAGGUGCACUUAUUUUUCAGUCGUUUUCCAUCCCUAACAAGUAAAUUUGAUUCUGAGAUUCAUAUAAGCAGUAUAUAUAUACACACACACAUUUUUUGUAACAGGAAAACAAAGGCGGGCUCUGGAGCAGCGGUGCCUGUGAUCCCCGUCAGCGCGCCCACGUGUUCCGUUUCAGGCAGCCCAUUCGGGGUCAGAUUCUUCUCUGGCACCAGUCAUAAUUUCAGAGCUUUUUUAAUUGGAAGAGACAUUUAUGUUGCCUUGAAUUAAUGAUGUUCAAGGAAAAAAAUGCAAUGCUUGCAAAGCACGAGGUUCUAUAAUUAAUUUUAAUUUGCCAAUUAACUUUCAGAUAUGUAGCCGCCUCUAUACAUGCCCUAGAUUUCACCAGGGAAAGUCUUUAAAAAGUGUAUUUUUCAUGUUAGAAUGAAAACUCUCAUAAGUGAUCAUGUAAAUAAAGAAAACUAGGUUACCUUUCUGCUACAGCUUCUAACAUACACAUUUAAGAAGGAGAGGUGCUUGCUACAGCAUUUAAUAUACGUGCAACUGUUUGUUAGGGAUAGUUCAGUAAAGAAACACACAUAUUUUUUGAGCUUCACAGGCGGUUGGAAAAUCAUUGAUUUUACGUAAGUCUAUCCAUUUAGUUGUACAAAUUCAUUAAGUUUUUCAGAUGCAAAGGUUUAAUGGGUUGGAGUCAUUUUCUGCAUUAACUGAUCUUCUGUCCUGACUCUGGGCAGCCACUAGCCACAGCAAGAUUUUAAUGCAGGAGGUGCUAAGACUAAAACGUGCUUGGCAAAUUUAUGCGGAGGUUGGAGAGAGAGAAUUUCAAAGGACCCUCCAGCUCUUUGCAUAUUUGUACUUCUGACUUUGGGUAGUAAAUUUAGGUUGUAGUUUCAGUAGAUUUUUUUCAAUGCUGCUUGCAGUUUGUUAUUAGGGAUAUGGUGUCAUGUGAAGCAGCUUUGUAGAAAGCGCAAGCUUAGGUUCCCAUGAGGGGUCUAGUGUGUUUUAGUAUUCCAAGGAGUAGUCACCAUUAAUAUUAACCCUCUUCAAGCUGGGUCACCAACUUGCAACAAGACGGAAUGUGCACUUUAUAUGUGGGUUUUCCUUGGAGGCUUUGGACCUUUUUAGUUCAGUCCUUUGAACUUCGCCUCCCAUGAAAAAGAUUGCAGCGCUGCCUCGCUCUUCAUCCCUGGCUGGGCUGUGGGACUGCCUUUUUGUGUGUUUCCUGUCUGAAUUAUUUAUCUGCUGUGGUCAGGAAGGUCAGCCCUUCUGUUGCUGACACAACUGGGGAGAGAUGCAAAAGCAGAGAAGGUGUGUGUGAUAUUUUUUCACUUUUCUGAUCUUCAGGCAAGUUGAAAAGCAGCAAUUGAAAGCUUACAUUCAAAUAAAAGAUAUCAACACAUGGAAGAGAACAAAGGCAAGAAAGUCAAGCUUUUAUUUAGGAAAAUGGUGAAUUUCUCAUUGAAUUCCUACAUUGUUUGUCCCUUGACUGCUGCGUGGGAACAGCCAAUGUUUUCCGGUUGCAUAUUACGUAGUUUUGUUUAUUGAAAAGUUCUGCAGUACUUGCUCCUGGUCAGAGUAACAGGACCUACGUGAUAACUAGCCUCAGGUAUUGUAUUAGCUGUUCUAGAUACGGUGUACUUCUAACUAAUAACAGAUUUUCCAAGGGACAAGAUUUUACGUCAUAGACUUGUGAGACCUGCCUAUGCCAACAUCUUUCUGUAAUUACAUACACUGGGUAAUUCUGUUACUGUGCAGUGGCAACAAAGUCCACCCCAUGGAAAAGAUUGCUCAGAAGAAGCCAUCAGUGCUUUAACUGCUGCACUUACUAGAUGUCUGCUCUGAUCAAUGCUUGCCAUGCAUCUCGUGUACUAAUGAUCUUACCAUUCCUCCCACUGUUGAAGCUGCACCGAUAGGAAAGGUGGGAAAUUUUGAGGAAAAAAGCCUACUACAAGGCAGAGCACUGUAACCUGUCACCCCCUUCUGAUCCCAUAAGGUGAUUACCGGCUGUAUGACA